Molecule: ribosomal RNA, 425 nt
Filed under: uncultured bacterium
Lineage: Bacteria
Description: partial 16S ribosomal RNA
Rfam family: Bacterial small subunit ribosomal RNA
Source: RNAcentral
GUGGGGAAUCUUGCGCAAUGGGCGAAAGCCUGACGCAGCCAUGCCGCGUGAAUGAUGAAGGUCUUAGGAUUGUAAAAUUCUUUCACCGGGGACGAUAAUGACGGUACCCGGAGAAGAAGCUCCGGCUAACUUCGUGCCAGCAGCCGCGGUAAUACGAAGGGGGGUAGCGUUGCUCGGAAUUACUGGGCGUAAAGGGCGCGUAGGCGGACAGCUUAGUCAGAGGUGAAAGCCCAGGGCUCAACCUUGGAAUUGCCUUUGAUACUGGCUGUCUUGAGUUUGGGAGAGGUGAGUGGAACUCCGAGUGUAGAGGUGAAAUUCGUAGAUAUUCGGAAGAACACCAGUGGCGAAGGCGACUCACUGGCCCAAUACUGACGCUGAGGCGCGAAAGCGUGGGGAGCAAACAGGAUUAGAAACCCGUGUAGUCC